Apis cerana (Asiatic honeybee) is the source of this 3623-nucleotide long non-coding RNA. RefSeq lists it as uncharacterized. The record is from RefSeq and is a predicted model, not a curated record. NCBI's taxonomy places the organism in Eukaryota, Metazoa, Arthropoda, Insecta, Hymenoptera, Apidae.
CAUGAACGUCGCGCCGCCACGAAGGUUGACGGCGCCUUGUCUGUCGGCGCCGACGCCGACGUCGACGCUCACGCCGCUCCCGCGUUCCAUUCGAGGUUUCGCGCUCGGCGAGAGGCUGCGUUCCCCGGACAUCCGUCUGAAAUUCCCCAAGUCAGAGUCAGCUUUCAGAAUCGGAAAGAUCGGCCAGCUCGCCUCGAUCCGUUCGUCCCUAUGUUAUAAACAAACAUUUCUCUUCUCUUCCGGCGAAGAUGGAAAGAAAAAUUCUUCCCUCCUUCGAAACACUCGUUUCCGUUUUUAUCGAACCGUUUUGUGGUGGAAAGGACGAUGACUCUGGAUAGAUCCGCGCGUACAAAAAGGCGUGUAACAAUUCCCAUUUGAACACGAAUCACGAAGAACCGGCACAGGGCUCAACGACUCCUGGCUCUGUAACACUUGGGCUGGUUUCGCGAGACAGAUCUGGCAGAUGAUGGUGCACAACACGAGCAACGAGAGGAUACGCGUCGUCAUUUCGACGAGGGUCAAAUCUGGAUUCGAGUGAUUCGCGCGAACAGAAGUGUAGAAAAAUAAUCGUAGGAAUUCGUUAGAUCACUGUUCGUGCUUGUCAUUGGCUUUUAACGAGUGGACGACCUUACUUUUCAGGGACGAACGAAAGUGGAUCUCAGGAAAGUGUCGGCCGCUAAUCAGCUUCGGGGAAUCACGUGAUAAAAAGGCAAAAAAAAAAAAAGAGAGAGAUGAAGAGAGGAGUCGAAUAUUGAAAGACGAAAGAUAACGAACGUUUUGUCAAUAAUCUUUGAACGAGUGAGGCUUCUUCAAAGGGCAACUUGUACGAAUUGACCUUCAUGUUCGAUCCCGUGGACCUUUGUGGACGUAGAUGAUGGAUGGGAUUAAGAAGUUACUAAUCUUUUCUUUCGAGCCUUCUUUUUACCUUCCAACCUUCGAAACUGGAAAAAAUUUCUGGCACAUUAAUUCUAGAACAGGUAGAAGAGGUUCUACGAAUAUCGUUGAACGCGAAUUAAUUUUAAUAAUUCACAAAAAAUCACUCACUUUUCAACGAAGAAAAUUCAUUUUUGAAGAACGGAAAAUCGAUAUCCAUCGUUUCAGCGACGGCAAGGAAUAGCAGGAAAAUGACUUCGUCCAUGGUCAGGAUCCGUACCAGUACUGAACGCAUCCGAAUUUUGAAACUUUCCUUUUAAAGGGGUUUUUGUCGUCAUUAUUGGGGGAGAAACUGAAAGUUUCAGCCAGAUAAUGGUAAAAUCUUUGACCUGGCACCAGGUAACCCUACCUGGAAUUUUAGGAAAAUAAAAAUCAAUAAAAUCAAGGGAUCAUAUUAACGGAACAAUAGCGAGUUUUUCUAAAGAACUUUUCUUUCACAAUGAAAUCGAGGAAAAUUAUUUGGGACAAAAGAAGAUAACUAAUGGAAGAUAAAAAAAACAGUUAUAAAUAGUUCCACGUUUUUCUUAAGGAAAUGUGAAAUAUAUAUAUAUAAAUGGAUAGGAAUUUUUUUCGAUUCUUAAAAAAUUUUUUUCGAUCAAAGUUAAUCGAUCUUUAAGGAUGUCAUUGCCACGUGUCGUCGUCGUUGAGGAUUUCUUCGUAAAGAUUAUAUCAGCCACGUUCUAUAUAUAAUGAACACGAUGGCGGAAAAUGUAAUGGAAAAAUGAAGAAGUGACACAGUCACCAAUAAUAGUUAUUUACGAUCGUCGUUCAAUGUCGCCGUUUGUCAAUGUUUCAUAAACAUUAUGAAUCAUGAAACAAGCGUAUUUGCACAUCGACCAAUAUAGUUUCUUAAGAGAAAUUUGUAAAAAUUGUCGAAUAUACACGAAUUGAUAAAAAAAGUAAAAAAGUGCAACUCGUUUUACGCAAGAAUCUCAACAAAUUUGAUGACUAAAUGGCUUUCUUAGUAAAAGGCGUGUAUUAAAAAAUGGAUUGAAAUAAAUUAAACGAAAGAUUUCGUAAUUACUUAACGAUUAUUUCACGUUACGCUUAUCUAAUAGUUUUUUAAUGAACUAAGGUCAAAGAUAUCCACCGAUAGAAAAAAAAAAAGAAAAGAAAAGAAAAGAGAGAAUUUAAAAUUUUAUAUGACUUCUUAUACGUUUUAAUGACGGAAAUAAAAAUAAAUAUUCAAUAAUAUUUAUAUUGCGUAAGAGCGUGAAGUAUGAUAAGCCAGAAUAAUAGAUGGAAACUCCGUGGAAGUCGUAAAAUAAAUGAUACUUAAUGUAAAUACAAUUGUCGGUAAUUACGUGCAAAUUACGAGAAUUCGUGUGCAGAGAUAUCAAUAGGAGACAAAUAUACCGACAUAUUUUUUGAUUUUUACUUCGUGUUUGUACGACAAGAUAUCCGGUUCUUUACAUUUACAACAACUAAUUAUUCGUACGUAAAUUAUUGUUUAUACGGAAAAAGUUUGGAGAAGAAUUGAAUUGUUUUGAAAGAGAAAUAAGUAUAAUUGAAUUUAUUGCGGAUAGAGGUUGUACGAAGAUCAUACGCCUUCGCAUUUAUUCGUAUUCGCUUAUAAAUUAAUAUAAAAAUGUCGAUAAUUAAAAUACUAAAAUCGCAAAUUCGAUAUUUGAUUGGAUGCUAUGUAUAAAGAUAGAAAAAAAACAUUAUCUCGUUCGUAUUACUAUCACGAUUUAAGAUUAAAAUAACUACGCUCGUUACGUUAAAUAUAAUUUUAACGUAAUUACGUACAAAGUUUUUUAAUUACAUGCUACAUCGUUUUAUAGUAUUAAAAUAACGUUCAAUCUUAAAUAUCUAUUAUAAAAUCGGAAAAAACGCUAAUCAUGUGUCGAGUAUUAUCCACUUAUACGAUAAAACACGAUGGAAGUCGCUUUGAAAAGUUUUUAAAUGGACUGACGCUUCGACAAAGUGAACAAAUUAACGAAGACAAAUUUAAUAUCCGAUAUCAACGUUGGAAAAAAGAUAAAAAAGGAUUUCGAGGAUUUUCUCAAACGGUGAAUACUUCCUAUGCUUCGUGUAUUGGCAAGAAUAUUAUCACAAAUGAUAAUAAAUUUAUUUUUUGAAUGCUCGACUCUGAUGAAAUUUCAUUCAUUAUUCAUUCACAGUUAAAGUUUUCAUUUUUAAAGAUAAAGCGCAAUAAAAUUAGUUACAUAUCAACACAUCGAGUUGUAAAGUAAUUACGAUUUCGAUAUUACAUUGCCAUGAUCCAGCAUGGGUAAUCACAUUGCGUCGAUCGAUGUUCGAGUCGAUAAUCGUUUUAAACCGAUGUACCUUUGACUCUUAAUUCCAUUGACGUGUUUCAGAUCCUACAAGCUAAUCGGUAGAGUAUCCUAAAAAUCGAGUUUCGAGUGAUGGCACGGUCCAUGGCGUUCGUAAUAUUUCCACGAUUAAAUAAUUCGAGAGAGCAAAAUUAAUUAAAUAACGAGUAUAUCCAAAUGUUUGGAUGAUUAAUCUCUGAAGACGAGCAAACUCCUCGUGUCCACGUUGGCGGAUGCAGAGCUGGAGGCGAAACUGUUGCCGGAUCCCGAAGACGCUUUGCUGGAUGCUUGUGCAUUCGCAUUGGCCGACCCAUUUCCAAAACCUGACGACUUGGCGGACGAUUUGGCGGACGCAUUGCUACCAGAAAAUCCUUUGAACGAGUUCGAAUUCGCGUUUGCAAUUGCGUUUGAGCC